Non-coding RNA from Aegilops tauschii subsp. strangulata, 466 nucleotides. Lineage: Eukaryota; Viridiplantae; Streptophyta; Magnoliopsida; Poales; Poaceae. The record is from RefSeq and is a predicted model, not a curated record.
CUGGCAAUGGAGGCGGCGGUGUGAUGAUCUGGCUGACUCCGGUAUUUGAUGGUCUGAAUUUAGAAAAUAUUUAUGAUUAACAUCUGUUUCAUUAAAGGUAAAUCUUGAAAGUCAAGAAAUGUUAAGGUGGGGCAUAAGAAUGUUGGUACUGAUAGCAAAUGAAGUUUUCAUAGCAGUGCACGGCCGGAGGGUGUGGGAGGUAACUGAAUCAUGGCGCGAAGAUGUGGCUAGUGUCUCCUCAUUUCUUCUACGGUGCUGCUUCUGAGUCAAGCUUCAGAUGCUGGGUUUUGUUUUGUCUUGCUGAUGUAUAUAUUAGCUGGUUUAUUGUUGCUGGGUUCUGGUGGUGAUUGAUGAAAUCAUGUCAUGAGGAUCUGACCUGUAGACUUCCAGUACCUGUAGCCUUGUUGCCCUUGUGAACUGAAGCGAUGUGGGCGGUGAUGGGCCGAUGGCUGCCGGAGUUGCUCAA